Molecule: long non-coding RNA, 1178 nt
Organism: Hyposmocoma kahamanoa
Lineage: Eukaryota; Metazoa; Arthropoda; Insecta; Lepidoptera; Cosmopterigidae
Exons: 3
Source: RefSeq, a predicted model, not a curated record
AGCGUUACAGAAAAUCAGCAAAUAAUUUUCCUUGGUUUCGAACCUGCUGCAAACUGCUUGAUAGAAGACAAAACAAUUAUAUUCGAUUUAACCUGGACGUACAAACUUACAUCAGAUAUAGUACGUCCAUUUUUUAUAAUAAAAAAUAACCGCAAUGAAAUAAUAGGGCCUCGGAAAUAUAUGCAUUGGGACUAUAACUUAGACGAAAUGUCAACAAUGGGUACCAGCAUUUUGCACAAAAUAAGAGAUAAAAAGUAUAUAGCAGCUAUUAUAUCUUCGCGCUGUGAGCUAAUUAGCGAACAGCAAAUGUUUGUUCAAAGCCUAGAAACGGAAUUGAAUAAAUUUGGACAGGUUUUGCAUAGUUUUGGAGGUUGUGGACAAAUGCAAUGUGAGUUGAAAUACGAGACAGGAAAGCGUGUACCUAAAUGUGCCGAUUUGAUUAGGAGCGAUUAUUAUUUCUUUCUGGCAUUUGAGGAUGCACUUGGUGAAGACUACGUGACUGACAAAUUGUUGUAUGCUUUACAUAAUUAUGCGGUGCCCGUAGUCUAUGGCGGUGCUAAUUAUACGAGAUUCCUGCCCGAUGGAAUAUACUUGAACGCCAGGUUUUUGGGUGUGACUGAACUGGUUAAAAUAAUGUUGGAAAUUGUACACGAGAACACACCAAAAUACCAAGAUUUUUUUAAUUGGCAUGAAUAUUAUAGUUAUCAUGAAGUUAAUGUAGAUAAUGAACGCUAUGACGGUAUUUGCGAUUUAUGCGCGCUGGCUAACAACAAGACACGGCGACCAACGACCCGUUUAGAUAAGUUUUGGAAUAAUGUACCUAAUCGUUCUUAAGAUUGGUGUUAGAGCUGACAACGACUCUACACGCCAGAGACGUGCAGCGCUUGCGCAUCGUUGCGUAGAAACAAUCCACCCGCCGCUGCUCCGCAAACUUCCUUGACGCGCUGCAGUACGCUGUGAAAAAUAGAAUAGGUCCACGACUUGUUUGUAGCGUCACUCGGUAUUAUAUAAAAAACGAUACAUUUUUAUGUAAUAUUCGUAAUUUUUCUUUUUGUAUAUCUUAUGUUUCAAUAGUUUAAAACAUUCAUUGUUAAUCAAUUUUUUUUUUAAAAGAGAUUUUAACUGAUUUUGUUUUGUAAAUUGUUGGAGAAAGGAAAAACAAGAUGGCGGAUGCACAU